CGGAGGGAAACCGAGUCUUAAUUGGGCGUUAAGUUGCAGGGUAUAGACCCGAAACCCGGUGAUCUAGCCAUGGGCAGGUUGAAGGUUGGGUAACACUAACUGGAGGACCGAACCGACUAAUGUUGAAAAAUUAGCGGAUGACCUGUGGCUGGGGGUGAAAGGCCAAUCAAACCGGGAGAUAGCUGGUUCUCCCCGAAAGCUAUUUAGGUAGCGCCUCGUGAAUUCAUCUCCGGGGGUAGAGCACUGUUUCGGCUAGGGGGCCAUCCCGGCUUACCAACCCGAUGCAAACUGCGAAUACCGGAGAAUGUUAUCACGGGAGACACACGGCGGGUGCUAACGUCCGUCGUGAAGAGGGAAACAACCCAGACCGCCAGCUAAGGUCCCAAAGUCAUGGUUAAGUGGGAAACGAUGUGGGAAGGCCCAGACAGCCAGGAUGUUGGCUUAGAAGCAGCCAUCAUUUAAAGAAAGCGUAAUAGCUCACUGGUCGAGUCGGCCUGCGCGGAAGAUGUAACGGGGCUAAACCAUGCACCGAAGCUGCGGCAGCGACGCUUAUGCGU
This 557-nucleotide ribosomal RNA is filed under the name Salmonella enterica. RNAcentral describes it as "partial 23S ribosomal RNA". It matches the Rfam family "Bacterial large subunit ribosomal RNA", at positions 667 to 1221 of the family's 2925-position model. RNAcentral also lists the same sequence under 2 other names. The record is from RNAcentral. Lineage: Bacteria; Pseudomonadati; Pseudomonadota; Gammaproteobacteria; Enterobacterales; Enterobacteriaceae.